Molecule: RNA transcript, 6505 nt
Organism: Dreissena polymorpha
Lineage: Eukaryota; Metazoa; Mollusca; Bivalvia; Myida; Dreissenidae
Gene name: zinc finger protein 3 homolog
Exons: 5
Source: RefSeq, a predicted model, not a curated record
UGAACCGAACGUGUAGACUGUGUCGAUAAUAGUUCUCCUGUAAAGUCAAAUUAAAAGUACAAUAUUAUACCAGUCGUUGUUGACUUUGUGUGUGCGGGUGAGCUGUUCACAUAAAACAUGGACUUGUCCAUGGAGGGUUCAGUAGAAGACCAACUGUUUUAGUGACAGCUGUUUGGAAGGGAUGUGUUACCAAAGACUGUUGAGUGGAAGAGGGUUAAACUUCUAGAAUGAUAUAGACAUUCUCAAAGCAUUCACUUUCUUCAAGUACAUUCCAUAUUGUUCAUUCCAUUUACUGUUGCAUAUAUAAAAGUAUUUAUUUAAUAAUUAACAUUCCCUAUUGACAUUCCUUGUAUUUAUUCAGAAGCAAUCAUGACAGACUUGUUUCAACAGUUUGGUGGUGCUCUCAAUGAUUUUAAAAUUCGAAACAUUGAUUCGGAUAGUUUGCACGAGAUCAUUGGUGAGUUUGCACCAUUGAUAGGUGUGGCAAUAGAUCAUGCCAAGGAUAAAACCUCUAAUCUAAGUAAAGAUCCACCUGUAACUGUGAAACAAGAGCCAUUGGAAGAGAUUGAAGAUAAAAGCACCUCUAAUCUAGGUAAAGACCCGACUGUAACUGUGAAACAAGAGCCAUUGGAAGAGAUUGAAGCUAAUAGCACAAGCAACGCUCAAUACGGUCAGAUACCCAGAAGGUCACGAAGUACUGGAAAUAAGUAUGAUGUCUUCAAUUUGAAAGAUGAUGUUGGGAAUGGUAUUAAAGUUGAGCAGUCAUAUGCGAUGGACUUGUCUGUCCAGCCUGCUAUCGAAAUCAAAGUAGAAGUUUGUGAAAAUAGUGACACUGAAUCACCGUUGCCUGAUUCUCUGUCAAGAAAAAGACUGCACUCUGACAGUAUUACAAAUGGUUACAGUAGCUCUGAUAAUGAAUCAUUAAUGAAACGUAUAAAAACUGAAAGCAACGAUACACUGUUCAUUGUAAAUGCAGAAAAUGAGAAACUCGUGCAGACUCUAAAAAUACCAAACCUCCAAAAUAUUAACAGUACCUCACCAAACACCAAACAGGAACCUCAGACAGAGUCCAAUGCUGAUGUUAAUAGUCAAGAUGACUCUGACGGCCCACAUUAUCUCUACGCUAUAACCUCCUCAAAAAAUGGUAAAUUUUACAAGUGUCUUAUCUGUCAACGUCUCUGUGACACAAAAUACCAUGUGAAACGUCAUAUUUUGUCCCAUGGAGGAAGUUUGAAACCUUUCCAAUGCGAUCAGUGUGACAAGUCCUUCUCUCAGAAAUGCGAUCUCAACCGCCAUCUGAAUGUACACAACACCGCUAGAAACUUCACGUGCUCAGUUUGCGGAAAGUCAUUCAAACGUAGCGACUACCUUGCUAAGCAUGAGCGCCAGUACUGUGGAGUUCUCAAGCCGUUCAAAUGUCAGAAAUGUCACAAGGGGUUUGAGGACGAGAAUCAGGUGCGUGUGCACACCUGCAUGGAUAAGAAUAAUGCAACACUGUUUGCCUGUGAGAAUUGCCCAGAAACAUUCAACACAGUCGACGCCCUGGUGGAGCAUAGAAAGGCGCACAUGAAGGUUGAGACAGAUUUCCAGUGCUCUAAGUGUGGCAAGAAAUUCACUGAGUUCAUGGCGUAUGUGGACCACUUUAAGAAUCACAGUGGCGAGCGCCCGUACAGGUGUGACUUGUGUCAGAAGGUGUUCUCCCGCAAUCACAACCUGAUGACCCACAUGCUGAUCCACAGCCAGGAGAAGAAACACACCUGCCAGAUCUGUGCCAAGGCUUUCACCUACUACAGUAACCUUCAGGUUCAUCUGCGGGUCCACCGUAAUGAGCGCCCGUACAUCUGCAAGAUAUGUGACAAGGGCUUCCUGACGAGUAGUGACCUGCGACGUCACCAGCGCGUCCACAGCGGGGAGAAACCGUACAAGUGCAAGCACUGCAAGGCGGAGUACGCGCGCAAAGAGCGCCUCAUCAGUCAUCUUGUGAUCCACAUAGAGGAGGGCAUGCUGGCCCGCGGGGAGCUUGGUGGCGAUGGUGGGCUGGACUCGAGCAUGGUGGUGGAUGACACGUCCAAGGACAGCCUGGUCAUUGAGAGUGAUACAUCUGAUGAAUGAUAUUUAAAUAUAUCCUCAUUCUGGAAAACAGGGCUUAAUGCAUGUGCGUAAAGUGUUGUCCACCAUAAAAGCGGAAAGUGUCACACCUGAUUAGCUUGUGCAGACUACACUGGCUGAUCUGGGGUCACACUUUACACUCACAGUGUCACACCUGAUUAGCUUGUGCAGACUACACUGGCUGAUCUGGGGUCACACUUUACACCCACAGUGUCACACCUGAUUAGCUUGUGCAGACUACACUGGCUGAUCUGGGGUCACACUUUACACUCACAGUGUCACACCUGUGUAGCUUGUGCAGACUACACCGGCUGAUCUGGGGUCACACUUUACACUCACAAAUUUAGCCCUGUUUUCCCAGAGUGUUGCUAUAAACAUCUGACAGUUUUUUUAAUUUAAUUAAAUUGAACACACAAAGCUGUUCAGGAGUAUUUAAAUGUAGUCAUUUUAAACUUUAAUUGCACCGUAGUCAUUUUUAGAAAAUGCUCAUUGAAUUGUGCUUGUGAAAAUCAAAUGAAUUUAUUGUGUUUUUUUUAAAUUGUGAAGGAGAAAAAUCUGUUGAUUCUUGAACAGAUUAAAUGCGAGUAAGACAAAAUUGAAUUUGCAACAGACCAAAGGAUCUUCAUAGUUUUAAGAAAUUUGUUAAAAUUUCACUUAGUUCAUAUGUGACCUAUAGUGUUAUUUUCUUCAUUCUUUGACCUGUUUCCUCAUUUCAAAGAACAGGCAUUAAGUUAUCACAAUUAUGUUAAAUUCAGACUGAUGACUGAUUCUUUAUAGAAUUGAAAAGAUGGGAAGUGUGUGAUUUUUUUGGGGAUUUAAAUUAUUUUGUAAAGACAAUAUUUUUCAUUAGUCAAGGUUCAGUAUUUUUGGUCUCUUAAUUGCAUUCAUUUCUAAACACCUGUUGUGUUUUUCUUUGAAAUAACAUUACUUACAAAAUAUUUAUGUUAUUUACAAUUGUGUUACAUUCCAGUAGAAAGCAUUUAUUGUACAUUUUAUUUUACUUAUUGUACAUUCCAUAAAGUUAUUUGUGUUUUACUUUCUUUUAUGUUAUAUAAUGUGAGAAGUGUGUGUUUGUUAUCACCUUUUACAUGUUGUUCAUUGUACAUUCCAUUUUAUUGACAUGGAUUAUUGUAUAGAAUGUUGUCCUUGUCUUUUGUUAAAUAUGUAGCUAUGUUACUCAAGUAUUAACUGUUUAUAACAAUUCAAGUUUUACUGGCUAGUGUAAUUCAGCAUUAGACACUUUCUGAUGUUUUGUUAUUUUUUAUAAACCAUUCCAUAUUUCUUUUAUUUACAAUACUUACUUUAUACAUGUUAAAUGCUCAACUCUUUACUUUGCACGACUUAGAACACAUGUGUUGCUAUAUUGAAUAAAGAUGAAUUAUACAAAGUUAAUAAAAUAACAAAAAAUAAUCAUGUGAAUUACCAAAAAUGUGUUUUACGCCUGUUAAAAUGUUGACAAUCAUGAUGAACUGGCCUGGAUAUCACAAAUAUUCUUUAGUCUGUUGCAAGAGGGUUAGCUUAUACUCACUGUUUGAAAAUUUAACUUAAUUGAACCAAUUCAUCAUUGUAAAAAUAUUAUAAGCUUUAGAUGACACUUUUACAAAAAAUACAGCAGAUAAAUGCCUUUUCAUACAACAACAUAAACUUAAAAAUAAAAAUAUGACUCCAUAAAAUAUAAGACUUAAGUCAGUUAUUCUUAAAACAGACAAAAUUUUUUUGAGAAGUUGCGGCCUGAAUUUAUACCAAAAAAAAGGUUCUGUCAAAAUUUCUGUUGGACAUUUUAUUAAUAGUAACGUAAGAAAUUCUGCUGAUGCAGUUUCAUUCUUUGGGGCCAUGCUCUGUGAAAAAGGGGUUUAAUACAUGUUGGUAAAGUGUUGUCCCAGAUUAGCCUGUGCAGUCCACUAUUAUUAUAUUUUUUGUUUCAAGAAAGUCUUUUCUUAGCAGAAAGCAAGUAUAGGGGCAGGCUAAUCAGGGACGACACGUUAAGCACAUGCAGCAAACCCCCUUUUCACAGAGCACUGCCAAUUUAUUUCCAGCUAGUCAUCUAUUUAAGAUGUUUUAGUUUUUGUUUUGUUUUCAUUUCUUGUUUAUAAACAAUUAGAUUUGAGUGGCGCUUUGUGAAAAGGGGGAUUAAUGCAUGUGCGUAAAGUGUCGUCCCAGAUUAGCCUGUGCAAUCUGCACAUUCUAAUCAGGGACGACACUUUCCGCCUAAAAUUAUUUUAUUUAAAAAGAGACUUUCUUGAAACAAAAUAUAUCAUAAAAGCGGAAAGUGUUAUCCCAGAUUAGCCUUUGCCGACUGCUUUUAACACAUGCAUUAAACCCCCUUUUUACAGAGUGUGGCUUAUUUAAAUGUGUUGUGACAUUAUCUUAGAAAAACUUAAAUUAAAACCCUUAGGUAGCUCUUGUUUAUACAAAAACUGUCAUGGAAUUUUCCGUAGAAAAGUCUUGAAAACUAAAAGAAAUAAUGAUGUGCAAUAUACAUGGUUAGAAACAAACAAACUUUGUUACUUCAAUAUUUUAGUUAUGUGUAACUGUAGUUAUAUAUUAUGUAAGCACAAAACCUUUUAACUCUUUCAGUGCGGGAACCGAAUUUUGAAAGCCUUUGCAAACAGUUUGGAUCCAGAUGAGACGCCACAGAACGUGGCGUCUCAUCAGGAUCCAAACUGUUUGCUAUUCUGAUAGUAUUCUUUGAAAAAAAAUCGAAGAAAAUGCUUAUUUUAGUAAUUCAGCAGAUGACAUUUUAGCAGACGACAAAUUUCCCAGCAUGCAAAGGGUUAAACAUACUGCAAAUGAGUUAAUUUAUCCAUUAUUGAAUGCAGAUAUAAUAGUAAUUUCUAGAACAUUACCAGUAUAUCAUCAACAAGAGAUCCUAGAAGUUAUAUUUCUGCAUUUUGAGAACAUUUGAUGAGCAUUUGGGACCACCUUUUGUUCAUAGUCAUUUGUCUGCAAAGUGUUUAAUCAAUGACAUAAAGACCUUCCCUACUAGAUUCAAGUUUUUAAGGCUUCAUUUCCACCCUUAAAUACUCAUGAGCAGCAAACCGCAUCAAACCUGAACAGACUGUGAGUUACUCGCAGGCUGUUCUGGUUUUAUGCUGUUUGCACAUAGCUAUUUUCACGUUGCUUCUGAGUGGGAAAGGGUUGACCACAUGGCAGAUUUUUACAAAACAGGAAUAAUAUUGGGUGACCAUCUAUUAAAGUUGUUCGAAUCUUUCUGGUCACUGUAAAUGGAGGACAUCAGCGCACAGAACAGAGAUACAUGUAAUCAGUUUAACCGCAAGGUUCAUGGGUAAAUAUGUGGUACAUAAUAUUGUUUAGUUGUCCUGUGCUUUAAUAGUUUCUUAAAGUCUGGACCUGGGUUUUCAACAGGCCAAACCCCAGGGGUCACAUGAUUUAUUUAGACUAACACAAAAAUCAACUUAACAUUUUCUCAGAAACUGCAAGUGUCAGGGAUUCAAUAUUUGGUGUGUAACAUGGUGUGGUGGUCCUCAAUCAAGUUUGUUUACCGGUAAAGCAUGGCUUGGUGCGAUUCAGACCGGCCCCCAGGGUAACUUCUUUUCCAUUUAUGAAUUUAGUGACAACUUUUAACAUAUUUUUCUCUGACACUACAAAUUUCAGGGGUGUUCAGCAUUUAAGAUUGUAGGGUGGUCUUCAACCAAGUUUGAUAAAACUAUGCCCUUGGUGUCAAAUAGGCUCCAUUCAGCAGGAUAUUAUUUACCUUUGGUACGUUUUAAUUGUAACAUCCUUUUGCAGUCUUCUACCAAAUCUUGACUAUGUGGUCAAAAUGAGCCUACCUUGUUUACCUUAUUGUACAAAGUGUAAUCUUUAAAAAUACGCACUUAGUAAGAUCACUUUAGUAUCACAAAAUGAACUCUUGUGGCUUUUGUUUUAUCUGCUUUGAUUAAUGAUAAAUUAUAUUCUGUAAACAAAACAUAAUUUUUUUUUUUUUUGCUUUUUUAAAUUACAUUUGUAUUGUAUAGAUAAGCUCUUCGGGGGCUAAACCAGGUUUAAUGCAUGCAUACAGUAUUGUAAAAGGUUAGCUUGUGCGUGCUUAUCAAGAAAGACACUAACCACUUUUAUGGAAUUAUUCAUUGCUAAAUGAAAAUUCAAAUUGUCGUCCCUGAUAAGCCUAUGCAGAAUUUUAUCAUUCAGUUACAUGAAAUCCACCUUACAAUAAAAUUUGCAGAGUUGGUUGUUGUUUUUGUUUGACUUUCUCCAUAUGUCCAGGCAUGAUUGUGGUAUUGUUUUGUUAGUUAUGCAUUUAAUUUACAUUUUUAGUUGAUUUUUAUUGUUUUUAUUGUCAAUAAAUACUGUGUUUAAUGUUGUGAAAUGUGUUCAUUCAUUUGGUGUUAGAAAAAAAAACAAGCAUUUAUAAUAAUAUAUUUGUUGUCAAUUGUAA